GGAGUUUGGGCCGUGUCUCAGUCCCAAUGUGGCCGGUCGCCCUCUCAGGCCGGCUAUGGAUCGUCGGUUUGGUGGGCCGUUACCCCGCCAACUGCCUAAUCCAACGCGGAGCCAUCCCAUACCACCGGAGUUUUUCACACUGUACCAUGCGGUACUGUGCGCUUAUGCGGUAUUAGCAGUCAUUUCUAACUGUUAUCCCCCGGUAUGGGGCAGGUUCUCCACGCGUUACUCACCCGUCCGCCGCUCAGUCAUCCUUUGAAUCAAUCCGAAGAAAUCAACAAAGGAGCUUCGCUCGACUUGCAUGUGUUAAGCACGCCGCCAGCGUUCAUC
Molecule: ribosomal RNA, 330 nt
Filed under: uncultured Ruminococcus sp.
Lineage: Bacteria; Bacillati; Bacillota; Clostridia; Eubacteriales; Oscillospiraceae
Description: partial 16S ribosomal RNA
Source: RNAcentral